Molecule: ribosomal RNA, 498 nt
Filed under: uncultured bacterium
Lineage: Bacteria
Description: partial 16S ribosomal RNA
Rfam family: Bacterial small subunit ribosomal RNA
Source: RNAcentral
AUUGAACGCUGGCGGCAUGCCUUACACAUGCAAGUCGAACGGUAACAGGUCUUCGGAUGCUGACGAGUGGCGAACGGGUGAGUAAUACAUCGGAACGUGCCUAGUAGUGGGGGAUAACUACUCGAAAGAGUGGCUAAUACCGCAUGAGAUCUACGGAUGAAAGCAGGGGAUCGCAAGACCUUGUGCUACUAGAGCGGCCGGUGGCAGAUUAGGUAGUUGGUGGGAUAAAAGCUUACCAAGCCGACGAUCGGUAGCUGGUCUGAGAGGACGAUCCGCCACACUGGGACUGAGACACGGCCCAGACUCCUACGGGAGGCAGCAGUGGGGAAUUUUGGACAAUGGGCGAAAGCCUGAUCCAGCAAUGCCGCGUGCAGGAUGAAGGCCUUCGGGUUGUAAACUGCUUUUGUACGGAACGAAAAGCCCCGGGUUAAUACCCUGGGGUCAUGACGGUACCGUAAGAAUAAGCACCGGCUAACUACGUGCCAGCCGCCGCAGUAA